AAUCUCAGUAACGGACUUAGGAGUCUCCCACUGUGAUACCGCUUCAACUUUAGACGGAUCCACUGCAAUACCAUCACCAGAAAUAACAUGGCCUAGAAAACUCACUUCUUUCAACCAGAAUUCACACUUAGACAAUUUAGCAUAAAGCUUCUUCUCUUUCAACACUUGCAAAACAAUCUUCAGAUGCUCAGCAUGUUCUUCUUCAGUCUUGGAGUA
This 216-nucleotide long non-coding RNA is filed under the name Medicago truncatula (barrel medic). RNAcentral's name for it is "long non-coding RNA (MTRU_LNC008601)". The record is from RNAcentral. Lineage: Eukaryota; Viridiplantae; Streptophyta; Magnoliopsida; Fabales; Fabaceae.